UAAUUUGCAGUGAUAAAGAGGAGUAGUAAUUAUUUUCUUUAAAGAGAGGUUGCAUUUUGCUGUGAGCAACUAGGAAUUUAUUAUGAAGGGAACUUUGGAGCAAUAUUUUUUAGAAAGAUGGACUUAUGUCAAGAAGGGUGGAACCGCGGAAAAUAUUUUUCGUCCCUUUG
RNAcentral lists this non-coding RNA (170 nucleotides) under Clostridium carboxidivorans. Its description in RNAcentral is "T-box sequence". It matches the Rfam family "T-box leader". From Rfam's summary of the family: Uncharged tRNA acts as the effector for transcription antitermination of genes in the T-box leader family. T-boxes are found upstream of many aminoacyl-tRNA synthetase genes and some amino acid biosynthetic genes usually in Gram-positive bacteria. The record is from RNAcentral. Lineage: Bacteria; Bacillati; Bacillota; Clostridia; Eubacteriales; Clostridiaceae.